CCUUUUGUAUAAUGGGUCAGCGACUUAUAUUCAGUAGCGAGGUUAACCGUAUAGGGGAGCCGUAGAGAAAUCGAGUCUUAAUAGGGCGUUUAGUUGCUGGGUAUAGACCCGAAACCAGGCGAUCUAUCCAUGAGCAGGUUGAAGGUUGGGUAACACUAACUGGAGGACCGAACCCACUGUCGUUGAAAAGCCAGGGGAUGACUUGUGGAUAGGGGUGAAAGGCUAAUCAAGCCUGGUGAUAGCUGGUUCUCCCCGAAAGCUAUUUAGGUAGCGCCUCGGACGAAUACCAUAGGGGGUAGAGCACUGUUUCGGCUAGGGGGUCAUCCCGACUUACCAAACCGAUGCAAACUCCGAAUACCUAUGAGUACUAUCCGGGAGACAGACUGCGGGUGCUAACGUCCGUAGUCAAGAGGAAAACAAUCCAGACCGCCAGCUAAGGCCCCAAAAUCAUAGUUAAGUGGGAAACGAUGUGGGAAGGCAUAGACAGCUAGGAGGUUGGCUUAGAAGCAGCCACCCUUUAAAGAAAGCGUAAUAGCUCACUAGUCGAGUCGGCCUGCGCGGAAGAUGUAACGGGGCUAAAACUAUGUGCCGAAGCUGCGGAUUUGACAUUAGUCAAGUGGUAGGGGAGCGUUCUGUAAGCCGAUGAAGGUGUAUUGAGAAGUAUGCUGGAGGUAUCAGAAGUGCGAAUGCUGACGUGAGUAACGACAAAACGGGUGAAAAACCCGUUCGCCGAAAGACCAAGGGUUCCAGUCCAACGUUAAUCGGGGCUGGGUGAGUCGACCCCUAAGGCGAGGCCGAAAGGCGUAGUCGAUGGGAAAAUGGUUAAUAUUCCAUUACUUCUGUGUAAUGCGAUGAGAGGACGGAGAAGGCUAAAUCAGCCUGGCGUUGGUUGUCCAGGUGAAAGGAUGUAGGCAUGUAUCUUAGGCAAAUCCGGGGUACUCUAUGCUGAGAUCUGAUAGCAAGCUGUACUUGUACAGCGAAGUGGUUGAUGCC
This 993-nucleotide ribosomal RNA is filed under the name Acinetobacter baumannii. RNAcentral's name for it is "bacterial LSU rRNA". It matches the Rfam family "Bacterial large subunit ribosomal RNA", at positions 604 to 1601 of the family's 2925-position model. Lineage: Bacteria; Pseudomonadati; Pseudomonadota; Gammaproteobacteria; Moraxellales; Moraxellaceae. The record is from RNAcentral.